This 121-nucleotide small RNA is filed under the name Mesorhizobium australicum. RNAcentral describes it as "Rhizobiales sRNA Atu_C8". It matches the Rfam family "Rhizobiales sRNA Atu_C8". The record is from Rfam by way of RNAcentral. Lineage: Bacteria; Pseudomonadati; Pseudomonadota; Alphaproteobacteria; Hyphomicrobiales; Phyllobacteriaceae.
CAUGAAGACGGUUCUCAUUCUCGUAGUAGGAAGGCGCAUGGGCAAGGCGGUGUAACCGCCGGGCGAGAGCACCCCAUGCGCCAGACAGGCUCCCUUCCGGGGGCCUUUUUUAUUGCCUUCG